GAUGAACGCUAGCGGCAGGCCUAACACAUGCAAGUCGAGGGAGAAGCCCUUUCGGGGGCAGAAACCGGCGCACGGGUGCGUAACGCGUAUGCAACCUACCUUUCACAGGGGGAUAGCCCGAAGAAAUUUGGAUUAAUACCCCAUAAUAUUAUUGGAUGGCAUCAUUUGAUAAUUAAAACUGCGGUGGUGAAAGAUGGGCAUGCGUCCUAUUAGCUAGUUGGAGUGGUAACGGCACCCCAAGGCUACGAUAGGUAGGGGUCCUGAGAGGGAGAUCCCCCACACUGGUACUGAGACAGGGACCAGACUCCUACGGGAGGCAGCAGUGAGGAAUAUUGGUCAAUGGUCGGAAGACUGAACCAGCCAUGCCGCGUGCAGGAAGAAUGCCUUAUGGGUGGUAAACUGCUUUUAUAUGGGAAGAAUAAGGUGUACGUGUACAUUGAUGACGGUACCAUAUGAAUAAGCAUCGGCUAACUCCGUG
Molecule: ribosomal RNA, 478 nt
Filed under: uncultured bacterium
Lineage: Bacteria
Description: partial 16S ribosomal RNA
Rfam family: Bacterial small subunit ribosomal RNA
Source: RNAcentral